GGUCAACAUCUUCCUGGUAUUUCUACCCAUGGCAAAUCCCACUGCACCGUCAAGGCUGAGAAUGGAAGCUUGUCAUUAAUGGAAAUCCCAUCACCAUCUUCCAGGAGCAAGAUCCCACCAAAAUCAAAUGGGGUGAUGCUGACGCUGAGUACGCUAUGGAGUCCACUGGCAUCUUCACGACCAUGGAGAAUCUCGGCCAGGGCUUACGUAACGGGGGAGCCAAAAGGGUCAUUAUCUCUACCCCCUCUGCUGAUGCCCCCAUGUUCAUAAUGGGCAUGAUCCAUGAGAAGUAUGAAAACAGCCUCAAGAUCAUCAGCAAUGCCUCCUGUACUACCAACUGCUUAAUCCCACUGACCAAGCCCACCCAUGACAACUCUGGCAUUGUGGAAGGACUCGUGACCCAGAAGACUGUGGAUGGUCUCCGUGGGAAACUGUGGCAUGAUGUCUGUGGGGCUCUCCAGAACAUCAUCCCUGUAUCUACUGGUGCUGCCAAGACUGUAGGCAAGGCCAUCCCCGAGCUGAACAGGAAGCUCACUGACAUGGCCUUCCAUGUUCCCUUCUGCAAGUGUGUUGGUUGUGGACCUGACCUGCCAUCUGGAGAAACCUGCCAAAUAUGAUGACAUCAAAAAGGUGGUGAAGCAGGCGUUGGAGGGCCCCUCAAGGGCAUCCUGGGCUACGCUGAACACCAGGUUGUUUCCUCUGACUUGAACAGUGACACCCACUUUUCCACUUUCAGUGCUGGGGCUGGCUUUGCCCUCAGUGACCACUUUGUCAAGAUCAUUUCCUCAUAUAACAAUGAAUUUGGCUACAGCAACAGGGUGGUGGCCCAUAUGGCCUCCAAGGAGUAAGACUCCUUGACAGCCAGCCCCAGUGAGAGCACAAGAGGAAGAGAGAGACCUUCAGCUUCUGGGGAGUCCCUGUCACACUCAGUCCCCCACCACACUUGGAAUCUCCCCUCCUCACAAUUUCCAUGCAGACCCCACAAAGCUCUGCCUUGUCGUGUACCAUCAAUGAAGUCCCCUGUACUCAAAAAAAAAAAAAAGAAAGAAAGAAAAUGAACAACCUGAUUUUAAAAAUAAGCCAAAGAUCUUAAUGGACACCUCAUCACAGAAGAUAUACACAUGGCAAAUAAACAUAUGAAAAAGAUGCUCCACGUCAUAUGUCAUCAGGGAAAUGCAAAUUAAAACAGUGAGAUCCCACUACACACUUACUAAAAUGGCUAAAAUCUAGAAUGCUGACACCACCACCAAAUGAUGGUGAGAAUGUGGAUUAACAGGAACUCUUAUUCAUUGCUAGUGGGAAUGCAAAAUGGUACAGCCACUUUGGGAGACAAUUUGGUGGUUUCUUAAAAAAACUAAACAUGCUCUUACCAUCCAGCAAUUACAUUCCUUGGUAUUUAGCCAAAGGAGUGAAAAACUGUCCACACAGAAACCUGCAUGUGGAUGUUCACAUCAGCCUUAUUCAUAAUUGCCAGAACAUGGAAGCAACCAAGAUGUCCUUCAGUAGGUGAACAGAUAAACUGUAAUACAUACAAAGAAUGGUAUAUUAUGCAGUCCUAAAGAGAAGCUAUGAAGCUGUGAAAAGAUACAGGAAACUUAAUACAUAUUACAAGGGAAAGAAGCCAAUCUGAAACAGCUACAUACUGUAUGAUUUCCAUUAUAUGACAUUCUGGAAAAGGCAAAAUGAUAGAGACAAUAAAAAUAUCAGGGGUUGGGUAAAGGGAGGGAUGCAUAGGCAGAGCCCCGAAGAUUUUUAGGGCAGUGAACCUAAUCUGCAUGAUACUGUAAUGAUGAAUACAUGUCAUUAUACAUUUGUCUAAACCCAUAGAAUGUAUAACACCAAGAGUGAACCCUAAUGUAAACUACGGACUUUGGGUGAUAAUGAUGUGUUAGUGUAGGAUCAUCAGUCAUAACAGAUGUACCCUCUGGUGGUGGCAGGGUGGGGGAUAUGGGAAAUCUGCUCAGUGUUGCUGUGAACCCAAAACUGAUCUAAAAAAUAAAGACCAUUUUUAAAAAGAUAAAUAAUGAAAGAUAUGCUCAUAGCUCAGUCGUGAUACUAGUAAUGCAGUUUUUUUUUUUUAUUUUUUUUGCAGAAUUGUGCUUUUGAAGAAAUCAGAAUGUUAUUCUCAAUUUUUUGGUGAUUAUUUAAAUUUUCCCCAUUUUUAUAUGGCUUCUUUUAAAAUGUUUCACUUUAUUCUUUUCCUAAUUUAUAUUAGAAUGGCAAUAUAUGUUUAACACUUGUAUUUUUAUACAUUUAUGGGUUUUUAAUGUUCUGAAAUGUUGUUUUUUACUUCAAAUGUGUUGAAUAUUUAACUUGUUAAAACAUUCCAGGCUGGGCACAGUGGCUCACACUUGUAGUCCUAGCACUUUGGGAGGUUAAGGCAGGAGGAUCACUUGAACCCAGGAGUUUGAGGCCAGCCUGGGCAGCAUAGUAAGACACCAUCUGUUUAAAAAAAAAAAUCUGAAUUAAAAAAAAAAAAAAAUAACCAGCAUUAAUGCUAGUGUUCCAUAUUAUGUAAAAUAAGUGUGAAAUACCCAAACUAUUGUUUUGCUUUCAUAUUGCUAUUGCAUUUCUUUCUUUCUUUUUUUUUUUUUCAUUUCUGAGUAGAUCUUUA
This is a non-coding RNA of Macaca mulatta (Rhesus monkey), 2614 nucleotides long. The record is from RefSeq and is a predicted model, not a curated record. NCBI's taxonomy places the organism in Eukaryota, Metazoa, Chordata, Mammalia, Primates, Cercopithecidae.